ACCCAGCAUGGGUACCUAGGUAAUUUUAGGUUAACAAUAACCCAAAGGCGCUCUUCUUCUUUCAUUUUCACUCUCUCUCUCUCUUUCGUCUUCUGCUGCUUCUCUGGUAAUCGGAGAAAAUUGAGAUAAAUCGACGGAAAUCGUGAACGAGAGAGAUUUGAUUACUUGGAGUUGUUGGUAUUGUCUGGUUUUAUAAACGAGGUAAAGAAAUUACUCCAUUCUGUUUUUCAAUUUUGAAUCGAUUUUGUGUGGUGAGCGGUUUUUACCCAAAUGAUCGAAUAUGGUUCUUACCAACUUGAGUAUUGGUGUUACUACACUUGAUACGGGUUGUGAUUCAGUACCUAGUCUUGUUAAUUUCAUCCGUGAUGUGAAAUUGAUGUGAAAACAGGGAAGCUAGGGUUUAUCACAACUUGUUUUUUUUUUUAAUAAAGUUUGAUGAUCAAACUUAAAAUUUGGAUGAUAUUCGAUCUUGGGUUUACUGUAAUUUGUUUCAAUUUCUUGAUUACUAAUCUGGUUUGGGGAAAUUGUGAAGUAAGGUUUAUACUGUGAAUUUUGGCGAUUUUCCCCAAAUCUGAAUAAUACUUGAAUGAGUUUGAAAAACAUCCAUAGAAUUUGUGGUCAUACGUUAUAACAACUAUAUUUGUUUAGAAUUGAAUUUCUGACUUGGAAAAUAUUGUUUCGAAUAAUAUCUCGUGAACCAUGUUUGAUUAUGUUCUUCUGCAAUGAGCCUUAUUAGUUGAUGAAGUUCAGAAGUUGAGUUUAGAAAUUAAACUACCACCCUGUGGGAACUAGUUAAUUGGUCCAUAGUUGUUACUCAAUUUUUUUUUUUUUGAAGCAUGAAAUUUAUUAAACUACUAAAGGACUAUUACAUGAGGGUAUAUAAUUAAUACCCCAAGAUUCGUUACUCAACUUGAAGGAUAUGCUGGCCAUUUCUUGGUUUGGGAAGUGCUUUUUAAUUCAUUCCUUUAGUUUAUGAGGAUUGGAAAUAUUUGGUUUACCAGUGCUUAUCCAUUGUGUCAGGUUUGUUGCUCUCUAAUCCAUAUCAGUCAUGUUAUGUUUGACCUUGGCGUCUCUUCCAUGUUCACGCCUCUUUGGCUGUUUGGCAUUAUAUCUGUAGCUGUUAAGGAGAUGUGUCUGUGUUGUAAAUUGUAGUACAUGAUAUGUGACAUGUGUAUUGCUUGCUUGGUUGUCUCUGUAUUGUGAAUAAAAUUGAGAUAUAAAAUCUAGGUUUCGUAAAAAUGUUGAGAAGCCUUAGGUUGUCUAGAAUACAUGAAUGAUUGAUCUGUGUAGGACUGCAAUUUGAUACUUAGUGAAGCAGAGAAUUGUUAUUUGUGUUCUAUAUGUUGAGUCUGUUUAACUGCUAUUACAUCAUUAGUUCUGAGCAUUGUACGUGUCAGAAUUCAGUUAUCUGAAAUGGGUGCUUGAUUGCUUGCUUGCUUUAGAAGAAGAGUAUUGAAAGUGGGAGGUUUUGUCAUCUAAGCCACCGACAUAUUUGAUACCAAUUUCUAGUAGUGAUACAAUUAGGUAAACAAUUUGAACCACCUGUCAGCUGUCACCUGCAGUUCCAGCGGGUGUCAAUACUCAAUUGUAAUACCCGUCGUUUACAUUUUUUAUGAUUGACCACUAUUCUUGGAGGCUGCCACGAAGCCCCUUUUAAAACCCUAGCAAAACCCUAGCAAAAUCCAAACUGUAUGUUCCCUUCAGGCUAAAAAUAUUGCACAAGUUUAUUUUGGGGUUGAGUUUAAUUGGUUUCAAGUUCCCAUUGUUUGGACAGCCUCUUUAACAGUUGGAUCCCCACUUUUUUUUUGGUAUUGUUCAGUGAUGUAUAAAUCGAAGGUAACAAACAGUUAGCUCAAAAAAAUCUAGUCUAACCACCGACUUUUGUUUUCCGUUUUAAGCAGCACCGAUCUGCAGGUGCAAUUGCAAUUUCGGUUCCUUAUCAAAGUGUAGAUCAUUAAGAUGUGAUUGGAUUAUCUUUGACAUGAAAAAUAGGAUGCAGUUAAAUUUUUUUCUUAAUGGUAAUCUCCCAUAGAGGUUGAUAACCACUUUUAGCAACCUUGUGAUUCAUUCCGGUGGUCACUAUCAUUAUGCUUCAUUUUGGUUGGCCAUGCCCCAUGUAUAUCAAGCUACUUCGGCCAAGUGUGCUUUUAGGGUGUGCUCUGAUCAGAAAAGAGAGUUCCUCUCGAAAUUUCACAGUCCUGUCAGAAGGGCACUUUUGGUAAUUACACAAAUCAUUUCUCCACUUAAAAUCAGAAAUUGUAAAACCCUAAUCAGUCCUAGUCCGCCUUCAAUUUUCAGAUUUCCACAAUUUCAGAUCUUAUCUCAAGUUUUGCAGAUCGAUCCAUGCAAUAAAUUUCCCCACAAGUUUCAAUUCCUAUUUCUCAUUUUUGAUCUUCCCCCAAAUCAAAACCCCAAUAAGUGGAGUAUUCAUUUUGUUAUAUGGGAUUUUGGUGGAGGGAUCGGAACACACAAAGACAACCAUAGCAUGAUGAUAUUUCCUCUCAAAACAGAGCCUUAUGAAUUCAUGGAGGCCGGUAUAAGGAUCAAGGACGGCAUGUAUCAAUUUGAUACUCUUGCUGAUCAAAUUAGUGAGGCUGUUUAGGAAAUUUGGUACUUGAAUAUUUGGAAUCAGCCAUUUGAUUAUGAAAAGUGUAGCAGCCAUUCGAUUUCUCUGAGUACAAUCCGAGUCUGAGUCAUGUCGUGCAGGUAAACCUCAGCGCCUACCGGAAUUGCUACCUGGAUAAUCCAAUAAGAGAGUAUUCGUCUGGGGAGGACACGAUUGUUCUGAGGUUGGGUCAUGUGUUACCUAAUCGAAACUCAUCUUCAAACUGCAUUGGGGGCUUUUGUGAUACCUAAUCCGUGAUUCAGUUCUUUUUGUUUCCUCAUAUGUUGGUUUUCUUAUGUUUUCUGGUUUCAUGAUUUUUCGGCUAGUGCUAAGUUUAUGUUGGAUAAUUUACAGUAUAUUAGUUCUGAUUCAGACUGCAAUGGGGUUCUGAUAGUGCCAAGUGUCUAGUUAUACUUGUGUCGAUAAUUUCAGUUGAUUUUGUAACUGUGUUUCCAUCUGAAUUUGCCAGCAGUCAUGUUGUUAGACACUUUUCUCUCUCAAUCCAAUUUUACGGAUUUUGUAAGUGUUCGUUAGGUAUCGCUUGCAAGAAGAGAAAACUCAGCGUGUGGUCUUUGUCUCUGGAGAUGCUCGUGGAGAGUCUGACUACUUACGUCAAAGGCACUCCUGUUCUGAAAGUUUUUCUUACUUUUUGAGAUGAUUCAGUACCUUCCCUGGCUGCUCACAAUGAUAUGGUCCAAUUCUUAAAUGCAGCAAAAAUACGUUGCAAGGAUUUAAUCACUAAAGGAAGCGUUGGAGGAAUGUGGUCAAAACAUGAGAUUGAGCAAGCCGAAACUGCACUAGAUUUUGGAGCUGUUAAGUAUGUUCAACUGUGAUUUUGGACAAGAGUUCAACUGUGAAAUGUAUGGAUUCGUGAAGACGAUAAUCAGGGAUAGAGUUGCAGGUGGUAUCAUUAGGUGAGUCUAGCAUUCCACUUAGGGAAAAAUUGCAAAGGAAUGAGACUGUUGUUGAAGUGUUAUCUUCAGUUGAAGUACCUGGCCAAGAGGUAAUUCCAAAAGAGAUAAGGCUUGGAGAUGGUGAAGACCAAACUGAAAGUCAAGCAAGGCCGACAAUCAUCAGCUUUUGUUGUAUGGGUUUCUGGUGGAAUAUCGAAAACACAACGACAACCCUAGCAUUAUGGUAUUUCCUCUCAAAACCAAGUAUUACACUUAAAACUAGUGUAUUUUAUUGUAUUUUGCUGUUCGGAUACAACAGAAGAACACCUCUUUUGUUAGGCCUCCGCAUAGGAAGACAAAAGCUGCAUCGCCUAAUAUUAAUGUCAUGUAUGUCAUGGUAAUCUCUGCCUGGGUAUAAUUAUUCAAGGAUUGUCAUCCAGAGGCAGUUCACAUUUAAGCUUCCAAGGCUCUAUCAGGCAGCGGUCGCAAUGAGAGGAUAGGAAAAUAAAUUUCAGUUCAGUAUUUGAAGAACAAAUCUGCACCACGCACUGAUGGACCUGGCUCUGCAUGUCCGAGGUGUGCUCCACAUCUAAUACUGCAACAACUUUCGGUCUUGAAUUUGUGCACGCAUUCUUGGAUUCUAUUGAUAAUCAUUUUUGGAAUGUGCUAAUGUUCUAUUCUUUUUCCUAAACGUAGCAUAUUAAAUCAUCCGUAGCAUAUUAAUUCAUCCUGGUAGAACAAGUAUUUGGACCUAAAAUUUUUGGUAAAAUGAAUUUCUCAUCAAUGUGAUUAGCUUUACUCGAGUUGAAAAGUAAGUUACGGUAUGCCCCGGAGCACUAGGUUCGUGGAAUCAUUCCGGUCAUUGUAUAUUUAGGUAGGAAUUGUAUGUAAUUGUGAGCAUCCGAGAAGGUACAAGUCCUCUGCACAGC
Molecule: long non-coding RNA, 4427 nt
Organism: Papaver somniferum (opium poppy)
Lineage: Eukaryota; Viridiplantae; Streptophyta; Magnoliopsida; Ranunculales; Papaveraceae
Exons: 5
Source: RefSeq, a predicted model, not a curated record